Molecule: ribosomal RNA, 840 nt
Filed under: Acinetobacter baumannii
Lineage: Bacteria; Pseudomonadati; Pseudomonadota; Gammaproteobacteria; Moraxellales; Moraxellaceae
Description: bacterial SSU rRNA
Rfam family: Bacterial small subunit ribosomal RNA
Source: RNAcentral
ACGGGUGAGUAAUGCUUAGGAAUCUGCCUAUUAGUGGGGGACAACAUCUCGAAAGGGAUGCUAAUACCGCAUACGUCCUACGGGAGAAAGCAGGGGAUCUUCGGACCUUGCGCUAAUAGAUGAGCCUAAGUCGGAUUAGCUAGUUGGUGGGGUAAAGGCCUACCAAGGCGACGAUCUGUAGCGGGUCUGAGAGGAUGAUCCGCCACACUGGGACUGAGACACGGCCCAGACUCCUACGGGAGGCAGCAGUGGGGAAUAUUGGACAAUGGGGGGAACCCUGAUCCAGCCAUGCCGCGUGUGUGAAGAAGGCCUUAUGGUUGUAAAGCACUUUAAGCGAGGAGGAGGCUACUCUAGUUAAUACCUAGGGAUAGUGGACGUUACUCGCAGAAUAAGCACCGGCUAACUCUGUGCCAGCAGCCGCGGUAAUACAGAGGGUGCGAGCGUUAAUCGGAUUUACUGGGCGUAAAGCGUGCGUAGGCGGCUUAUUAAGUCGGAUGUGAAAUCCCCGAGCUUAACUUGGGAAUUGCAUUCGAUACUGGUGAGCUAGAGUAUGGGAGAGGAUGGUAGAAUUCCAGGUGUAGCGGUGAAAUGCGUAGAGAUCUGGAGGAAUACCGAUGGCGAAGGCAGCCAUCUGGCCUAAUACUGACGCUGAGGUACGAAAGCAUGGGGAGCAAACAGGAUUAGAUACCCUGGUAGUCCAUGCCGUAAACGAUGUCUACUAGCCGUUGGGGCCUUUGAGGCUUUAGUGGCGCAGCUAACGCGAUAAGUAGACCGCCUGGGGAGUACGGUCGCAAGACUAAAACUCAAAUGAAUUGACGGGGGCCCGCACAAGCGGGGGAG